UGCGGAGGGAUCAUUACCGAGUUUACAACUCCCAAACCCCUGUGAACAUACCACUUGUUGCCUCGGCGGAUCAGCCCGCUCCCGGUAAAACGGGACGGCCCGCCAGAGGACCCCUAAACUCUGUUUCUAUAUGUAACUUCUGAGUAAAACCAUAAAUAAAUCAAAACUUUCAACAACGGAUCUCUUGGUUCUGGCAUCGAUGAAGAACGCAGCAAAAUGCGAUAAGUAAUGUGAAUUGCAGAAUUCAGUGAAUCAUCGAAUCUUUGAACGCACAUUGCGCCCGCCAGUAUUCUGGCGGGCAUGCCUGUUCGAGCGUCAUUUCAACCCUCAAGCACAGCUUGGUGUUGGGACUCGCGUUAAUUCGCGUUCCUCAAAUUGAUUGGCGGUCACGUCGAGCUUCCAUAGCGUAGUAGUAAAACCCUCGUUACUGGUAAUCGUCGCGGCCACGCCGUUAAACCCCCAACUUCUGAAUGUUGACCUCGGAUCAGGUAGGAAUACCCGCUGAACUUAAGCAUAUCA
This 519-nucleotide ribosomal RNA is filed under the name Fusarium oxysporum f. sp. cucumerinum. Its description in RNAcentral is "eukaryotic LSU rRNA". The stretch from base 165 to 318 matches the Rfam family "5.8S ribosomal RNA". Lineage: Eukaryota; Fungi; Ascomycota; Sordariomycetes; Hypocreales; Nectriaceae. The record is from RNAcentral.